Molecule: unclassified non-coding RNA, 378 nt
Filed under: uncultured Alphaproteobacteria bacterium
Lineage: Bacteria; Pseudomonadati; Pseudomonadota; Alphaproteobacteria
Description: contains 16S-23S intergenic spacer region
Source: RNAcentral
UCCGGCUUAUCACCGGCAGUUUCCUUAAAGUGCUCAGCCAAACCUGCUAGCAAUUAAGGACGAGGGUUGCGCUCGUUGCGGGACUUAACCCAACAUCUCACGACACGAGCUGACGACAGCCAUGCAGCACCUGUGCGGGAUCCGGCCGAACCGACAAAAUCAUCUCUGAUUUCUUAAUCCCCAUGUCAAAGGCUGGUAAGGUUCUGCGCGUUGCGUCGAAUUAAACCACAUACUCCACCGCUUGUGCGGGCCCCCGUCAAUUCCUUUAAGUUUUAAUCUUGCGACCGUACUCCCCAGGCGGAAUGCUUAGUGCGUUAGCGACGACACUGAAACUAUAAGUCCCAACAUCUAGCAUUCAUCGUUUACAGCGUGGACUAC